GGCAUUCCAACUGGCUGUUCAUGGAAAUCCAGCAUUGGUGGCUCGAACCGCAGAGGUCGGCAAUUUCCCCGAUAUAGGGAUACACUUUUCUGUUGAUAUGAACUGAGGCCUAUAGUUGUCUCAGUCUGCAAUAGGUCUCCUUCAUCAAAACGUAGCAUUUCUAUUAUGCCAUCCGACUGGAUGAAAGCUUCCUUCUCGGCCCGGGCCGCGUGAAGGAGCACCGCCAGGGUGAGGCGCAGCACGGCUGCCCCCCAGCCGCCGCAUUGAGGGAAGGGGGAGCCGGCCGCCGCCUCCCGCCGCGCCGUCAUCGCGCUGCCGCAGCCGGUGCGGGUCCGCCGCGUCUCCGGCCGGGCCGCGGCGCGCGCGCGGAGGAGC
This 375-nucleotide long non-coding RNA is filed under the name Gallus gallus (chicken). Lineage: Eukaryota; Metazoa; Chordata; Aves; Galliformes; Phasianidae. The record is from RNAcentral.